CCUACGGGUGGCUGCAGUGAGGAAUAUUGGUCAAUGGCCGAGAGUCUGAACCAGCCAAGUAGCGUGAAGGAUGACUGCCCUACGGGUUGUAAACUUCUUUUAUCUGGGAAUAAAAUGUGCCACGUGUGGGACUUUGUAUGUACCAUAUGAAUAAGCAUCGGCUAACUCCGUGCCAGCAGCCGCGGUAAUACGGAGGAUGCGAGCGUUAUCCGGAUUUAUUGGGUUUAAAGGGUGCGCAGGCGGGGGUUAAAGUCGGCGGUGAAAUCGCGGGGCUCAACCCCGCACAGACGUUGAAACUGGGGGCCUUGAGUGCGCCGGAGGCAUGCGGAAUGCGCGGUGUAGCGGUGAAAUGCAUAGAUAUCGCGCAGAACUCCGAUUGCGAAGGCAGCGUGCCGUGGCGCAACUGACGCUGAUGCACGAAAGCGCGGGGAUCGAACAGGAUUAGAUACCCUGGUAGUC
Molecule: ribosomal RNA, 459 nt
Filed under: uncultured bacterium
Lineage: Bacteria
Description: partial 16S ribosomal RNA
Rfam family: Bacterial small subunit ribosomal RNA
Source: RNAcentral